RNAcentral lists this ribosomal RNA (844 nucleotides) under Mycobacterium terrae. RNAcentral's name for it is "Mycolicibacter terrae bacterial SSU rRNA". It matches the Rfam family "Bacterial small subunit ribosomal RNA", at positions 76 to 916 of the family's 1533-position model. The record is from RNAcentral. Lineage: Bacteria; Bacillati; Actinomycetota; Actinomycetes; Mycobacteriales; Mycobacteriaceae.
CCCUUUCGGGGGUACUCGAGUGGCGAACGGGUGAGUAACACGUGGGUGAUCUGCCCUGCACUCUGGGAUAAGCCUGGGAAACUGGGUCUAAUACCGGAUAGGACCAUGGGAUGCAUGUUCUGUGGUGGAAAGCUUUUGCGGUGUGGGAUGGGCCCGCGGCCUAUCAGCUUGUUGGUGGGGUGAUGGCCUACCAAGGCGACGACGGGUAGCCGGCCUGAGAGGGUGUCCGGCCACACUGGGACUGAGAUACGGCCCAGACUCNUACGGGAGGCAGCAGUGGGGAAUAUUGCACAAUGGGCGCAAGCCUGAUGCAGCGACGCCGCGUGGGGGAUGACGGCCUUCGGGUUGUAAACCUCUUUCAGUAUCGGCGAAGCUCCGUGGUUUUCUGCGGGGUGACGGUAGGUACAGAAGAAGCACCGGCCAACUACGUGCCAGCAGCCGCGGUAAUACGUAGGGUGCGAGCGUUGUCCGGAAUUACUGGGCGUAAAGAGCUCGUAGGUGGUUUGUCGCGUUGUUCGUGAAAACUCACAGCUUAACUGUGGGCGUGCGGGCGAUACGGGCAGACUAGAGUACUGUAGGGGAGACUGGAAUUCCUGGUGUAGCGGUGGAAUGCGCAGAUAUCAGGAGGAACACCGGUGGCGAAGGCGGGUCUCUGGGCAGUAACUGACGCUGAGGAGCGAAAGCGUGGGGAGCGAACAGGAUUAGAUACCCUGGUAGUCCACGNCGUAAACGGUGGGUACUAGGUGUGGGUUUCCUUCCUUUAGGGAUCCGUGCCGUAGCUAACGCAUUAAGUANCCCGCCUGGGGAGUACGGCNGCAAGGCUUUUCGAUCCGUAGCAGGACAA